UAUUGAUUUUUUUCCUUACAACUGGACAAAAAUCAAUAUAAAGCUAAUACAAACUGAUUUAUGCUUUGUGCAACAUUCUUUAAAGCUUAAAUGAAUAUUAAUCCUUCAGGAGCUCAAUCGAUCCAAAUCUACCAAAUACCUUGAUUGACAUUAGAGUUCCAUACAAUUUAAACAUGCAAAAGGUGGUUUGGUCGACAAGAAUAAAAUUAUCAAUUACCCUCCAUGAAAGGUUUUUAAGCAAUACUACUUUCUAUCAUUUUAAGAAGGAAUUUUCAAUGAAAUAAUAUUUGUCAUUUAUACAACACAAUCAAUUAAAAUCGAAAAAUAAAAUCUUUUUACUAAGAACAGGUUUAUAAUUUGAAAUUUUUUCAUAAAUUAAGAUUAAAAAUUACAUAAAAUAAAAUAAAAAAAUUAGACCAAACAUUGAAAAAAUAUAUAUAUAGGAAUUAAAAAGUAACCUGCAAAGACAAAUACAAAGGAGGCUGUCCAAAAACAACUCUAUAGAUAAAUUGGUGGACUGCACAAAUCGAAGUCGAUAGAGAAAGAGUUGGAGAACCAAGUAAAACUAAAGAAAUAACCACCAUUUUCUCAAGAAGAGUAGUCUGAAUAGGAACGAUACUGGAGGCAAAAUCCAAUAAAUUAUUUUCAAAAUAUGAGAAAGUUAAGAGAUUGCCUUGAAAGACAGUAACAAGGGAUGUCCUUCAAAUUGAUGACCACCAAUUUUUCCAGAGAGACAAGGGAGGCAAGCUUUUGAACCUCUAAGAGAAUGAAGGGUCUUCACGUUUGAGCACACAGAGUUAUCACAAAAUAGGGUUUCCCGAUUCUUAUUCGGAUUGGGUCGGCUUUGCAGGUUGUAGGUUAAGGGUCCAGGCCUAGUGACGCAGUUGAAUGAUGUCGAAGAGCGUUGAAGAUGAAGACACAGAUGAACAGGUAAAGAAGACGAAGACAGUGAGGCAGAGACGCUUCGUGAAUUUUUUGCAACUUGAAAAGGAUAUUUUAUUCAAUUGGGACUUUUCUAUGGGCCGGGACAAUGAAAUUGGGCCAUUUUAAUUGGGUUGUAACAUAAAUUCUGGUUCGAG
Molecule: long non-coding RNA, 1079 nt
Filed under: Olea europaea (common olive)
Lineage: Eukaryota; Viridiplantae; Streptophyta; Magnoliopsida; Lamiales; Oleaceae
Description: long non-coding RNA (OEUR_LNC015446)
Source: RNAcentral